GACGAACGCUGGCGGCGCGCUUAACACAUGCAAGUCGAACGGAAAGGCCUGCUUUCCCUUGUGGAUUGCGGGUACUCGAGUGGCGAACGGGUGAGUAACACGUGAGUGAUCUGCCCCCAACUUGGGUAUAAGCCUGGGAAACUGGGUCUAAUUCCCGAUAGGACUGCAGGGUGGUGCCUGUGGUGGAAAACGAUUUUCUAGUGGUUGGGGAUGAGCUCGCGGCCUAUCAGCUUGUUGGUGGGGUAAUGGCCUACCAAGGCGGCGACGGGUAGCCGGCCUGAGAGGGUGGACGGCCACAUUGGCACUGCGAUACGGCCCCGACACCUGCGGGCGGCAGCAGUGGGGAAUAUUGCACAAUGGGCGGAAGCCUGAUGCAGCGACGCCGCGUGGGGGAUGACGGCCUUCGGGUUGUAAACUCCUUUCGACCGCGAGGAAGCCACCUGGUUGGAAGGGUGGUGACGGUAGUGGUAGAAGAAGCACCGGCUAACUACGUG
This 494-nucleotide ribosomal RNA is filed under the name uncultured bacterium. Its description in RNAcentral is "partial 16S ribosomal RNA". It matches the Rfam family "Bacterial small subunit ribosomal RNA", at positions 28 to 507 of the family's 1533-position model. The record is from RNAcentral.